Molecule: ribosomal RNA, 121 nt
Filed under: Pteropus alecto (black flying fox)
Lineage: Eukaryota; Metazoa; Chordata; Mammalia; Chiroptera; Pteropodidae
Source: RNAcentral
GUCUAUGGCCAUGCCACCCUGAACAAGCCCGAUCCCAUCUGGUCUCAGAAGCUAAGCAGGGUUGGGCCUGGUUAGUACUUGGAUGGGAGACCCCACCUAGGAAGACGAAGUGCUGUAGAUG